UCGGUGGCAAUGUCUCCUCCUCAUUCACCGACUUUCCUUGCUGCUUCGUGCGACCUCUCCUUGCUGAUUUGUUUCCUUGAUGAUGUAUGCGAUGAUCUCUUUGCCAUUUUCUAGACUGCGCCUCAUCAAUUUUCUUCUCUAUAUAUUCAGUAUGGCCUAAGCUUUGGAGGUAAGCUUUUACAAUUGAUUCAUUCUUGCUUCUCGCCUUAUCUUCGUGAUUCUUGUUCCUUUGUGGAAUCUACUUCGUGUAGAACAUUCUAUUGGCAAGGGGGUUUUUGUUUUGGCCAAGAGAGAGCGGCAAUUUGGUUGGUUCGGGGCUGGGUUUUUCGUUGGGGCUUGGUGGCUCUAUUCUCGGUGUUGCCUAAGUGGUGGUUUUAUAGCCCAGAUCUGAGCCUUGAUCCAUUGUCUUAGUGACUGCCAUUCGUUGGUCGAAACAGGAAGUUUACUUCGUGUUCUUCUUGUUGCUAUUAAUGGUUUACUUUUUUUUUAUUUUGGUUUUGUGCACUAACCUUGUUUUGUAGGUGCUUUUGCUAUCAACAAUUGGUAUCAGAGCGUGGGUUGCCUCUUGGGUAGUCUCGAUUCAAGCUAAGAUUUGAAAAACCUCUUAGUUUUCCUGAUUGAUUUUGCGGUAAGGGUUUCGUUUAAAAUCUGGUUUUGUGUUCCUUCGAUUGCUUUGUGCUAAGUUCGAUUUGGGGUGUUCCAACCCCAUAGCUGAGAUUGACCUUCGGAGGAGGUCCGUCCUGACUGGCUCGUGCAAGCCCACUCGCUGGCCAGCGGCGGCGCGUGUCGUUACAGGCGGCGGCCCAUGGAUGCCGGUGCUUCUGCUAUCAACACAAUGCCUACUUCAUAGUUGUAGUCGGUAGGAUGGAAUAGCAUUUGCUAACCCAGUGAUGAAUCCGUUCAACAUAUAGACCACCAUCGUGUCCAUUGAUGGUUGGUACGAGGUAGUAUUCGGUUCCAGUGACGACUUUGUUGCCAGAGAAGUCAUAAAAAAGCUCGGCCAUUAAUUUAUAUACGACAAAAUGAUCAAAUAGGAUAGGAAGAUGCCACUUUCCAUUGAAGUUUAAUUGUUCGGGUAGAAAUUAAAGCUGAGUGGCUUGAAUUUAUAGAGCUUGAAAAAGUGUCACGGUAUGUAUGUAUAUUCAUGCAUGCAAUAUAUAUAUAUAUAUUUAUAUAUAUAAUAUCAAUUUUGCUUUGUUUUCUUGGAGGCCAUUAUUUUUGUCAGCUAGCUAUAUGUUGGGGACCGGUAGAAGUUGAAUUGAUUUUAAGGUUAUCAAUAUUGUUGUCUUGUUGACAUUCGUGGACUUGAAAUUAUAUACUUUCUUAUGAUUUUUGUUUUCCGUUUGAUUUCUUGUCUACCUAUCCUAUCCAGGUCCUGUUUCUUGGAUUAAAAAUCUGUCUGUCCACAUCAGGACCACAUGCAUGAUCAGCUUUUGAUUUUUCUUUGCGGAUAUACUGCUCCUAACUUUGUUAUUAUUCUCAGCUUUUGAUUUUUAUGUCAUUAUUUUUGUCAGCUUUGGCCAUCGGCCAUGGCAAAACUUAAAGCCAUGGCCAUUCAGAUAUGGCCAAGCAAUCGAAAAGCCGCGGUCUGAGGGAUUGAAAUCGGUGACAAUGGCGGAGGAUGAAAACAAGAGACUCAUAGCGGCCAUGCUUAAUGACCCAAAAUCGGCAGCAACCCAUGGUAACCAGCGACAUGAAUGGCCGCGACAUACGUGGUUGCCAGCGACAUUCCAGCUUGUCUCAAACACAAGCAAUAAACAUACCAAAAUUUUGCAGAAAAUAACAAUAUAUUUCCCCAAUCAAAAAUCAUUAUACAAUGAUAUUUUCAAUAAAUAAGGUAGAGAUACAAUAGGCAAUGAUACCAACUCUUAGAAAAAUUAAAUAAAACACACUUACCUCCAACCACUAUUUGUAUGAAAAACCUGUAUUAAAGUUGAUUAGGAUGCUUCCAAUCAAUCAGUCAAAUAUACAAUAAUGGUGUGUGCCUUCAAAUUUGGACUUGAUUGGGGAUCCAAUCCGCUUUUAUUGUC
Molecule: long non-coding RNA, 2030 nt
Organism: Diospyros lotus (date-plum)
Lineage: Eukaryota; Viridiplantae; Streptophyta; Magnoliopsida; Ericales; Ebenaceae
Exons: 2
Source: RefSeq, a predicted model, not a curated record